CAGUCGAGCGAGAAAUUACUCAAUGAAUCUUCGGAAGAAUUGAAUAAUGGAAAGCGGCGGACGGGUGAGUAACGCGUGGGCAACCUGCCUUUCACAGAGGGAUAGCCAAAGGAAACUUUGAUUAAAACCUCAUAAAGCCGAAAUGUUGCAUAGCAAGACGGCCAAAGAUUUAUCGGUGAAAGAUGGGCCCGCGUCUGAUUAGUUAGUUGGUGGGGUAACGGCUCACCAAGGCGACGAUCAGUAGCCGACCUGAGAGGGUGAUCGGCCACAUUGGAACUGAGACACGGUCCAAACUCCUACGGGAGGCAGCAGUGGGGAAUAUUGCACAAUGGGCGCAAGCCUGAUGCAGCAACGCCGCGUGAACGAAGAAGGCCUUCGGGUCGUAAAGUUCUGUCCAUAGGGAAGAAACAAAUGACGGUACCUGUGGAGGAAGCCCCGGCUAAAUACGUGCCAGCAGCCGCGGUAAUACGUAUGGGGCAAGCGUUAUCCGGAAUUAUUGGGCGUAAAGAGUGCGUAGGUGGUGGCUUAAGCGCAGGGUUUAAGGCAAUGGCUUAACUAUUGUUCGCCUUGCGAACUGGGUCACUUGAGUACAGGAGAGGAAAGCGGAAUUCCUAGUGUAGCGGUGAAAUGCAUAGAUAUUAGGAGGAACACCGGUGGCGAAGG
This 663-nucleotide ribosomal RNA is filed under the name uncultured bacterium. RNAcentral's name for it is "bacterial SSU rRNA". It matches the Rfam family "Bacterial small subunit ribosomal RNA", at positions 59 to 721 of the family's 1533-position model. The record is from RNAcentral.